RNAcentral lists this ribosomal RNA (254 nucleotides) under uncultured bacterium. RNAcentral's name for it is "partial 16S ribosomal RNA". It matches the Rfam family "Bacterial small subunit ribosomal RNA", at positions 524 to 776 of the family's 1533-position model. The record is from RNAcentral.
UACGUAGGGUGCAAGCGUUGUCCGGAAUUAUUGGGCGUAAAGAGCUCGUAGGCGGUUUGUCGCGUCUGCUGUGAAAAACCCGAGGCUCAACCUCGGGCCUGCAGUGGGUACGGGCAGACUAGAGUGCGGUAGGGGAGAUUGGAAUUCCUGGUGUAGCGGUGGAAUGCGCAGAUAAUCAGGAGGAACACCAAUGGCGAGGGCAGACUCUGGGCCGUAACUGACGCUGAGGAGCGAAAGCAUGGGGAGCGAACAGG